RNAcentral lists this ribosomal RNA (492 nucleotides) under uncultured bacterium. RNAcentral's name for it is "partial 16S ribosomal RNA". It matches the Rfam family "Bacterial small subunit ribosomal RNA", at positions 29 to 507 of the family's 1533-position model. The record is from RNAcentral.
AGUGAACGCUGGCGGUAGGCCUAACACAUGCAAGUCGAACGGCAGCACAGUAAGAGCUUGCUCUUACGGGUGGCGAGUGGCGGACGGGUGAGGAAUACAUCGGAAUCUACUUUUUCGUGGGGGAUAACGUAGGGAAACUUACGCUAAUACCGCAUACGACCUACGGGUGAAAGCAGGGGAUCUUCGGACCUUGCGCGAUUGAAUGAGCCGAUGUCGGAUUAGCUAGUUGGCGGGGUAAAGGCCCACCAAGGCGACGAUCCGUAGCUGGUCUGAGAGGAUGAUCAGCCACACUGGAACGGGGACACGGUCCAGACUCCUACGGGAGGCAGCAGUGGGGAAUAUUGGACAAUGGGGGCAAGCCUGAUCCAGCCAGACCGCGUGGGUGAAGAGGGCCUUCGGGUUGUAAAGCCCUUUUGUUGGGAAAGAAAAGCAGCAGGGUAAUACCCCGCUGUUCUGACGGUACCCAAAGAAUAAGCACCGGCUAACUUCGUG